GUUUUCGGGGUCGAUAGAGAACCUAUGGGUGUACUAACAAUUGAUUACGGUGUUAGUAGUGAUUCAGCCUACGUCACGGAAAAAGUCAGUACACACUGUUUUAUUCUUGAAGAUAUACGAAGAAAGAAAUGAUAGAACUUGCGUUUUUUUUUCAAAGGAGCAGCGCGAACUUUGGUGAAGAGUGACGUGAUCGGUACUGAAAUUUCGGCACCAUUUAGGCUGGUAGUAGACAGCGUUGGAAAUCCUACGAACCCUAUGACCGAACCUGUAAAUUUGCAUCGACCCGCCCGAAUGUUCAUAGCUGAUGUUAAAAAUUGACGAACAAUCGACAUCAGUUGGACUCACAUUUUUCUAAAAGAUGAUUAAUACUAAGCCGUGGAUCGAAUAAUUCGCAGCCGUAGUCAGUAAGAAAGGCAGAAGAAGAAAAAAUAAAGAAGAAAAAAGAGAAGAAUAAUCGACCAAUCGAAAAUGAGUAAAACGCUCAUAACUUUCAACAAAGUGAAAAAACUUUGCUCGAGGAGGGCAAGUGUUCGGAAUGACGAAUCGAUUUUUCAACAUUUUUCUAUAUUUAUCAGAUUUUUUGUUCAACUGCAAGUGAUUUUUCAACUACAUUCAAACCGAACUUUUUCACGUUUAUUGCGACCGUGAUUUGGAAAACAAAAUGCGUCGAAUAUAGGUGGGAUUAUAGAAAACUAUUUUAAUUUACUCAUCCGAUCCAUUGAAAACGAUACAAAACUGUUGUUUUUUUUACCCAUAUUACCUUGAUGUACUGAAUUUCUGGAAGAUGCAAUGAAAACAUUCGAUUUUUCAAAUAAGUAGUGUAAAGAAAUGGUAUCGAAAUAUUAUAA
This is a long non-coding RNA of Venturia canescens, 848 nucleotides long. RefSeq lists it as uncharacterized. The record is from RefSeq and is a predicted model, not a curated record. NCBI's taxonomy places the organism in Eukaryota, Metazoa, Arthropoda, Insecta, Hymenoptera, Ichneumonidae. The transcript has 3 exons.